RNAcentral lists this small RNA (466 nucleotides) under Rattus norvegicus (Norway rat). Its description in RNAcentral is "uncharacterized LOC102553296". The record is from RNAcentral. Lineage: Eukaryota; Metazoa; Chordata; Mammalia; Rodentia; Muridae.
UCUUGCAGAGGGACUUACCCAUGAACCUUUGCUCUCCCCCUCGCCUCUCAGCCUGAACUGCAGCUUCCUUCCUGAGACAUGAUGUAAUGAUAGUCUUGGUUCCUUGCUCUUACCUAAUGGAGAAGGAACUGAAGAUGUCAAACACAAACACACCGAGACCCUUGACGAGAAAGACCAUGGUUGUGAGGUUCAUGGGAAAUGAAUGGAGCAUCUCUUAUCUGUAUGGCUGAGGAGCAGGAGCUGCUUCUGACUCUUUUGCCUGCGUUUGGGACCGUUCCCCUCCUGCUGGGUUGCCUCAUUCAGCUUUCGUUUGAGGGAAGAUACCUGAUCCCUUUUGCAACUUGAUAAGCCGUCUUGGGUUGACAACCCUGGCAACUCCACCUUUUUCUGAAGGGAAUUAACGAGGAGUGGAUUUGGGGGAGAGGGGAGGAAAAGAAAUGAUGGUCAGGAUGUAAUAGAUGAGAGA